Molecule: ribosomal RNA, 306 nt
Filed under: uncultured bacterium
Lineage: Bacteria
Description: partial 16S ribosomal RNA
Rfam family: Bacterial small subunit ribosomal RNA
Source: RNAcentral
GACAGCAGUCGCCGCGGUAAUACGGAGGGUGCAAGCGUUAAUCGGAAUUACUGGGCGUAAAGCGCACGCAGGCGGUCUGACAAGUCAGAUGUGAAAUCCCCGGGCUUAACCUGGGAACUGCAUUUGAAACUGUCAGGCUGGAGUCUUGUAGAGGGGGGUGGAAUUCCAGGUGUAGCGGUGAAAUGCGUAGAGAUCUGGAGGAAUACCGGUGGCGAAGGCGGCCCCCUGGACAAAGACUGACGCUCAGGUGCGAAAGCGUGGGGAGCAAACAGGAUUAGAUACCCCGGUAGUCCCUGUCUCUUAUAC